This 429-nucleotide ribosomal RNA is filed under the name uncultured bacterium. RNAcentral's name for it is "partial 16S ribosomal RNA". It matches the Rfam family "Bacterial small subunit ribosomal RNA", at positions 338 to 795 of the family's 1533-position model. The record is from RNAcentral.
CCUACGGGAGGCAGCAGUGGGGAAUUUUGGACAAUGGGCGCAAGCCUGAUCCAGCAAUGCCGCGUGCAGGAUGAAGGCCUUCGGGUUGUAAACUGCUUUUGUGAACCGCGCGGUACCGUAAGAAUAAGCACCGGCUAACUACGUGCCAGCAGCCGCGGUAAUACGUAGGGUGCAAGCGUUAAUCGGAAUUACUGGGCGUAAAGCGUGCGCAGGCGGUGAUGUAAGACAGAUGUGAAAUCCCCGGGCUCAACCUGGGACCUGCAUUUGUGACUGCAUCGCUAGAGUACGGUAGAGGGGGAUGGAAUUCCGCGUGUAGCAGUGAAAUGCGUAGAUAUGCGGAGGAACACCGAUGGCGAAGGCAAUCCCCUGGCCGUACUGACGCUCAUGCACGAAAGCGGGGGAGCAAACAGGAUUAGAUACCUUGUAGUC